AACGAACGCUGGCGGCAUGCCUAACACAUGCAAGUCGAACGAAGGCUUCGGCCUUAGUGGCGCACGGGUGCGUAACGCGUGGGAAUCUGCCCUUGGGUUCGGAAUAACGUCGGGAAACUGACGCUAAUACCGGAUGAUGACGUAAGUCCAAAGAUUUAUCGCCCAAGGAUGAGCCCGCGUCGGAUUAGCUAGUUGGUGAGGUAAAAGCUCACCAAGGCGACGAUCCGUAGCUGGUCUGAGAGGAUGAUCAGCCACACUGGGACUGAGACACGGCCCAGACUCCUACGGGAGGCAGCAGUGGGGAAUAUUGGACAAUGGGCGAAAGCCUGAUCCAGCAAUGCCGCGUGAGUGAUGAAGGCCUUAGGGUUGUAAAGCUCUUUUAACCGGGAUGAUAAUGACCGUACUGGGAGAAUAAGCUCCGGCUAACUCCGUG
RNAcentral lists this ribosomal RNA (433 nucleotides) under uncultured bacterium. RNAcentral's name for it is "partial 16S ribosomal RNA". It matches the Rfam family "Bacterial small subunit ribosomal RNA", at positions 29 to 507 of the family's 1533-position model. The record is from RNAcentral.